CCUGUCUGUGCAUUAGUGGCUGAAGACAGAAGAUGGCACAUCCAUCCCAUGAAAUAUUAAUAAUUGACUGGUUGGACAAAUGGCAACAUGAAAACCAAGCACGGAUGAAGAGAUAAGAGAUCCAUCCCUUGGCCACCAGCCCAGCCCACUGCAUUUUUGUUCUGUCUGCAGAGGAAAGCAACCCCUUUCUUCCUAUGUCAGCAUGGAAACCAUUGACAGCCAACUUGAGGAAGUCUUUGGAAAUGUAUAGCAAGAAGCAUAAUAAGGAGGAGGCGGCACAAGGAGGUGCAAGCGCUCAAACGCCCUGUUUAAAGACACAGUUUUCAGGGGCUGCCAGGCAUAUGUGGUGGGACUGCUUGAUGGAAUCUAGAAAUUCUUUCUGGCCACGUAAUUCCCAGGCAUGCAGCAACUGGAGAGUGACUUUUCCCCCAAUCCUUGAAUGCAUCCUUACAUCAGCAGUUUCACCAAAUAUAGACAUCCAAAAAAUUCACCCUUAGUCUGAAGGGCAACCACAACUCCCAGAAUGUGCAUGCAGCAUUAGGAGGGUGACCUCUGCAUGAACACACCCAUACACCAGCAAUUUCCUGGACCACUUUCAUUGUCUACCAUGCACAUAAACACAACCCGGCUCACGUCUGCAAAGGAAAUUCAGCAACUACCAGCCACUCCAUCAGCCUCUCUCCCCACCAUUCACAGAUGUGCACCAGCUUCAGUCCACAAAUUUCUGCCAGGCUUCUGUUAGCCAGCUUCUGGAGGUAAACCUCCACCGGCUGACAUCCACAAACCUCAGUCAGCUUCCCUGUUGGGCCUCCACUUGCUUCUGAAUGUGAACUCCACCAACUUCCACCCGCUAGUGUCCACCAGCUUCCGAUGGGUCAGUCGCCAGACAUCAGCUGGCUUCUGGCCAUGGAUAUGAACCUCCUUCUGAUCAAAAACUCACCAACCACUCUGCAGAUCCACCACUAUUGAAUUUGCCUUCUCAUCCGUUUUGUCGUCAUCACCGCUCCCUGUCUUCCAAUUCACCUUUUCCAUGUUGUGGCAACCCUUAACUUAGCUAGCAGGGAAAGGUGGAAUGGUUAUCACAGUGCAGCUCAAAAAGGGAUUCUGAAAGUACUCAGGGGCAGUCUAUAUCUCCCCACUGGAUGGAGCACUGCACACUCAAGGAUAUGUGGAUCCCACCUUUCAAAGGCUCUUACAAACCCUUGGAUUUGAAUAAUUCUAACUGUACUGAAUGUCAGUUCCACUGCCCACUAUCCUCUGCUGUGGAAAAGCAAAAGGGGCAUAGGAAAGGGACCCAGGGAGGGGACCAAGGAAGGGAAUGGUCCUCACCUUUCUUAAGACCUGUGGUUCCCUUCAUUGCUUUCACAAAUGCUCUCCAAAAGACCUUGUCUAUUUCACACAUCCCUACAAUGCAAAAACACAAACAGUGAGUGGCAUGGCUCAUC
Long non-coding RNA from Rhineura floridana, 1445 nucleotides. RefSeq lists it as uncharacterized. Lineage: Eukaryota; Metazoa; Chordata; Lepidosauria; Squamata; Rhineuridae. The transcript has 4 exons. The record is from RefSeq and is a predicted model, not a curated record.